Molecule: long non-coding RNA, 396 nt
Filed under: Vigna radiata
Lineage: Eukaryota; Viridiplantae; Streptophyta; Magnoliopsida; Fabales; Fabaceae
Description: long non-coding RNA (VRAD_LNC006469)
Source: RNAcentral
AAAUAUAUUAGUAUAUAAUUUUUUUAGUCAAAUAUAACUGCAUGACUCCUCCAAUAAAAAAAAUAGCUACAUAAUUCCUUAAUCUAACCUUAUAAUUUUUUUAAAAUUAUACUUUUUUGCAUAUAAUAAUAUACACAUCUGCUAGGUUAAUGUAAUAGAAAUAAAAAUAAAGAAAAAGUAUAAUUGUUCUACAAGAGGAGCUUAUCUGAAGCCGUUGAAAUCCAAAAAUUCAAGUAUCUAGAAAGAUAGAAAGUGUUUUUAAAGCAAGGUUUGUGUUUGAGAUAAUGACUUAAAUGUGUCAAUUUAUUUUUAUUUUUAUUUUCUUUUUGUCAUACAUACAUUUUUUUUUUUAUAAAGGAAUGUGUGGAUGUUGUCAUGGGCUUUGAAGUUGAGAAU